UUAAAUUGAAGAGUUUGAUCAUGGCUCAGAUUGAACGCUGGCGGCAGGCUUAACACAUGCAAGUCGAACGGUAACAGGAAGCAGCUUGCUGCUUUGCUGACGAGUGGCGGACGGGUGAGUAAUGUCUGGGAAACUGCCUGAUGGAGGGGGAUAACUACUGGAAA
Molecule: ribosomal RNA, 164 nt
Filed under: Salmonella enterica subsp. enterica serovar Corvallis
Lineage: Bacteria; Pseudomonadati; Pseudomonadota; Gammaproteobacteria; Enterobacterales; Enterobacteriaceae
Description: partial 16S ribosomal RNA
Rfam family: Bacterial small subunit ribosomal RNA
Source: RNAcentral